RNAcentral lists this ribosomal RNA (206 nucleotides) under uncultured bacterium. RNAcentral's name for it is "partial 16S ribosomal RNA". It matches the Rfam family "Bacterial small subunit ribosomal RNA", at positions 568 to 774 of the family's 1533-position model. The record is from RNAcentral.
CAUAUAGGCGGUUUGGUAAGUCGGUCGUGAAAAUGCGGUGCUUAACGCCGUAUGGCGAUCGAAACUGCGGAACUUGAGUGCAGGAGAGGAAAGGGGAACUCCCAGUGUAGCGGUGAAAUGCGUAGAUAUUGGGAAGAACACCGGUGGCGAAGGCGCCUUUCUGGACUGUGUCUGACGCUCAGAUGCGAAAGCCAGGGUAGCGAACG